GAGGGAUGGCCGAGUGGUUGAAGGCGGCGGUCUUGAAAACCGUUAGGCGUUAACGCGUCUCGGGGGUUCGAAUCCCUCUCCCUCC
This 85-nucleotide transfer RNA is filed under the name uncultured Euryhalocaulis sp. It matches the Rfam family "tRNA". Rfam says of the family: Transfer RNA (tRNA) molecules are approximately 80 nucleotides in length. Their secondary structure includes four short double-helical elements and three loops (D, anti-codon, and T loops). Lineage: Bacteria; Pseudomonadati; Pseudomonadota; Alphaproteobacteria; Maricaulales; Maricaulaceae. The record is from RNAcentral.